CCUACGGGAGGCUGCAGUGGGGAAUAUUGGACAAUGGGGGCAACCCUGAUCCAGCCAUGCCGCGUGUGUGAAGAAGGCCCUCGGGUUGUAAAGCACUUUCAGUGAGGAAGAACGCCUGGUGGUUAAUACCCAUCAGGAAAGACAUCACUCACAGAAGAAGCACCGGCUAACUCCGUGCCAGCAGCCGCGGUAAUACGGAGGGUGCGAGCGUUAAUCGGAAUUACUGGGCGUAAAGCGCGCGUAGGUCGCUUGAUAAGCCGGUUGUGAAAGCCCCGGGCUCAACCUGGGAACGGCAUCCGGAACUGUCAAGCUAGAGUGCAGGAGAGGAAGGUAGAAUUCCCGGUGUAGCGGUGAAAUGCGUAGAGAUCGGGAGGAAUACCAGUGGCGAAGGCGGCCUUCUGGACUGACACUGACACUGAGGUGCGAAAGCGUGGGUAGCAAACAGGAUUAGAUACCCUAGUAGUC
RNAcentral lists this ribosomal RNA (465 nucleotides) under Vreelandella stevensii. RNAcentral describes it as "partial 16S ribosomal RNA". It matches the Rfam family "Bacterial small subunit ribosomal RNA", at positions 338 to 795 of the family's 1533-position model. Lineage: Bacteria; Pseudomonadati; Pseudomonadota; Gammaproteobacteria; Oceanospirillales; Halomonadaceae. The record is from RNAcentral.